AAAACGAGGGACUCCAAUUUAGU
RNAcentral lists this non-coding RNA (23 nucleotides) under Cricetulus griseus (Chinese hamster). The record is from RNAcentral. Lineage: Eukaryota; Metazoa; Chordata; Mammalia; Rodentia; Cricetidae.